Small nuclear RNA from Phascolarctos cinereus (koala), 107 nucleotides. The record is from Ensembl. NCBI's taxonomy places the organism in Eukaryota, Metazoa, Chordata, Mammalia, Diprotodontia, Phascolarctidae.
AAGCUCACUUUGGCAGCACAUAUAUUAAAACUGGAAUAAUACAGAGGAGAUUAGCAUGACUCCUGCACAAGGAUAACACACAAAUUCCUGAAGCAUUCCAUAUUUUU